UUAAUCUUAAAUCAAGCAUGGCUUCUCAGGAGGAACACAGCGGGACGUCGAAGCGUUUGAAAAGGCUUUGCACAAAAGCGAUUUCGAGCGCUUCUAGGGUUGUGAUUAGCUAUUGUACCCCCACGCUGGGGAGUAGAACGAUAAAAUAUUACGUCCAAAACCAAGCGUGGGAUUCUUGGUCCAACCGGACGGAACGUGAAGACUUGACUGUCAGAUAGCUUGUGUAUUUAUCGUAAGAAGCUGCUAACUUUUUAGCUUAUCAUUCCGGCUGUUCCACAGACCAAACUGUGGUCAAAAGUGUUGAUGAAAAUGUCCAACAUUUUCAAUUUAAUUAUGUUUCCGUUGGCCUUGACAACAAGUUUUUGUUCGGUGUCCACCAAAAAUUACACAUGGACCAUGUUUGUGUCAUCGUUUGUCGCCCAAGGGAGACAAGCUAAGGACAGUUGAUGGGUGAAAAUCCACAAAACUUUUAAAUUUGAUUCUACUCCUGAAAACAACUUACUACUUUCAUAGCAGAAAAGUGCACAAGCAAGGAUACUUGGAAAAUAGCCUUCGAGUCUCCUUUAUUCUAAACACUACUUUCAGUUGACUGAAAAGUCCUUUCUUUAGUUUUUGUAAUUACCAACUUCUAAAGAGAAUCGUUUAUGCAAGUUUUAUGGACGAUUACGUGGUUGGUAUAAUUACGUUUUGAGGUUGUUAACAACUUUGUUGACUAACUUAUCAUAAGGUUCCGGCGUUCGAUUGUUCCGCAAUGAUAUGGAGACUACUUCAGGUAAUGUGUUUCUGAAUCUACCGCAAGGGUUCAGGAAGAGCACCAUCCCGUUUAGAUUCCGCCGAAAAGCUUACGUGGCUGAGAACAAUUUAUACAAAGCUUCACGCGUUCGAUCGCACUCACGACAUAAAUGGAUUUUUUCAAAUUAUAGAAACUCUCGUUUGUGUUUUUGGUAAAGGUGUUAUUAUACGUUUUAACUUACCGCCAGCUUUUUACUAUGUUAUAUGCGGGCCUGUGUAAUAACUUACUUUACUUAGACUGUGAUAUAUAGCAUAGCUUCGAUCGAAAUUCAUUGACGUUUUUUAUAGCAAUAAAUGGGUUUUAUUUUUCUGCA
Molecule: long non-coding RNA, 1106 nt
Organism: Stylophora pistillata
Lineage: Eukaryota; Metazoa; Cnidaria; Anthozoa; Scleractinia; Pocilloporidae
Source: RefSeq, a predicted model, not a curated record